AGCAGUAGCCGCGGGAAUACGGAGGGUGCAAGCGUUAAUCGGAAUUACUGGGCGUAAAGCGUGCGUAGGCGGUUCGUUAAGUCUGUUGUGAAAGCCCCGGGCUCAACCUGGGAAUGGCAAUGGAUACUGGCGAGCUAGAGUGUGUCAGAGGAUGGUGGAAUCCCCGGUGUAGCGGUGAAAUGCGUAGAGAUCGGGAGGAACAUCAGUGGCGAAGGCAGCUCGCUGGGACGUUACUGACACUGAGACGCGAAAGCGUGGGGAGCGAACAGGAUUAGAUACCCCAGUAGUCCCUGUCUCUUAUAC
This 303-nucleotide ribosomal RNA is filed under the name uncultured bacterium. Its description in RNAcentral is "partial 16S ribosomal RNA". It matches the Rfam family "Bacterial small subunit ribosomal RNA", at positions 507 to 807 of the family's 1533-position model. The record is from RNAcentral.